Molecule: long non-coding RNA, 480 nt
Filed under: Salmo salar (Atlantic salmon)
Lineage: Eukaryota; Metazoa; Chordata; Actinopteri; Salmoniformes; Salmonidae
Description: lncRNA (ENSSSAG00000088569.1)
Source: RNAcentral
GGGCUCUCCAGCACAUCAGGCUCUCACAGACAUCAUCCUCAACACAAGGUGGCUGAAGAAUCUUCAGAAAUACCUGAACUUCAGACUAAGAAGACAUAUGGAUACAUUCCAUAUGGAUACAGACCUCCAAUGUGAGAUUUUGAGGAAGCGGUUGGAAUCUGAUGGUGGGAUGCCAAGGAGAAGAACCCUAAGGCCCGAAGACCACAGAAGACUUGGACUAAUACCCCCUAUUCCUCCACCAACAACUGAGGAACCUGUGUAUUCACAUGUGAGAAGAGGCCUAGCGUUGAGUGAACCUGGAGACCAUGCAGGAGCUCCAGCAACCCUGUGAGAAACCCAGAACAGCACAAACUGGCUCUAACCAGAACAGAAAGAGGAGUGGGAGGCCCCAGUGCCCAACUGAGCAAGAGGACAAGUACAUUAGCGUGUCUAGUUUGAGAAACAGACACCUCACAAGUCCUCAACUUCAUUAAAUAGUAC